This 880-nucleotide long non-coding RNA is filed under the name Mus spicilegus (steppe mouse). RNAcentral's name for it is "lncRNA (ENSMSIG00000018911.1)". Lineage: Eukaryota; Metazoa; Chordata; Mammalia; Rodentia; Muridae. The record is from RNAcentral.
UGGCCCCUCGCGGCUCGCCUCUCGACCCGCUGCCUCCUGCUCCUGGAGCUCAAAUUAGCUUCGCGUUAAUUAACACCCGAGUCCAUCAAGGCGGGUUCCUCUGUACAGUACUCGCAGCAGAGCUUAUAUAGACAACUUACACACCCAGCCAAAGCAAACCUCCCCAAAUCCAACACUUCCAGCAUGUCCAAACUGGGAAACAGGCGGCAGAGUAACACGGGGCAAGACGCCUAAAGGAGCCUGUUUGUGUGCUGUGUGGCCACGUUCUGCUGUGACUGGAUCUUGUCUUCUGCCUGGCUCCUCGAUUUCAUUCCGGCUGGAUUUGGGGACAACACUGCUUGGCGCAGACAGAUCAAAUGACACUUCAAAGAAGCAUAAAAUGAACAGACUAUUCAAACAAAGACCGGGGCAGCAGUACGCCAGCAAGAGGGCAUGUUCUGCCCGCCUAGAAGUCCUAAGAAAUCGAGGAUCUCCCUUAAAACAUUCACAUACAAGAUAUGUGCAAUCAAGCUGCCUGCACUUGGUAAAAAAGAUCAUGAUGCCUAACCCAAUGAUCCGGAGCAGAUCUUUGAAUCAGCUGUCACUUCUAUAGAUGGGAUUUCCCCCUUCUUCCUCUUUAACCAGCGUUGGAAACUGCCGAUGGCUUUAUACAUCUCAGUAGAGGAAGGCUAAAGAAUCUUCCGUGAGAAUGAAGCAAUUUACAAUGCAAAUAGAGGCCUGUGAAGAGAAGGACACUGCUGCUCACCCCCAACAGCUUGCUGCACCUUAGUCGCUGGUCUUAAUUUCUGAUACUCAUAGAUGAAUUGUUGGCUAACGAUACUGGAGAUUACUUGCUGGAAGGGGAAAAGUUUGGAAUAAACUCUGAAUGCAACAGAUCUCA